AGUGUUCUUUCUUGGAACCAUCUGCCAAGCUGUGAGGAAGCUCCAGAGCCAUAUGACAAGACCUGAUGGAGGAUAACUGAGGACUUUGGCCAACAACCCCAGCUGAGCUCCAGUUGGAAUGUGAAUGAGGCCAUUUUGAGUGUUCCAGCCUAUUGGAGCCCUAGCCAACACUCUACAAACUAGAACUGCCUGAUUGACCCGCAGAAUCAUAAGAAAUAAAGUAAUUUGAAGGCCUUCCCUGACUUAAAGUGGAUGCUGCUUUGGAAAGCACUGGAAAAAUGGAUCCUGUCUUUCUUAGCCAAGGACUGGUCUCUUUUCUCCAAUGUGUCCCUAACAGAGUGGUGAGGCUGGCUCUUCCCACCAGUACAGCUCUGUUUCUGGCAGGAAUCUGACACCACUUACUCCUUGGGUAGAAACUCCCCCAAGUCUGAACUAUGUGAUUGCCUGAGCCCUGCUUCUUGUUCAUUAAGACUGCUCCUCUGAAACGGAAUUGAUGAAUUUUUAGUGGCUAUUAGAAGCAUUUGGGAUCCAUAGGCAUCAGGGUUUGAUGCAUGGCCCUCAUCUCUGUGGGCUCCUGUGCAAUGAUUCUCAUCUGUCUUAGUUAGAAAGUGAAUUAAUCUUGACCUUGGCCUCAGGGGUGUGGUUCUCUGCCCUCUUACACAUCUUCAAUUCGCUUCUUUAUCAGAAGCACUUGUUUUAGGCCCAGGCUCCCCCAAUUUUAAUGACAUUUAGACAUUUGUCUUUAAGUUACAUUGCUUUGAUUUUAAUCAAAAUCUAUAUUUCUAGUAUUAUAUGUUUCCAGAAAGUUCUCAUUCUGGAUUGUAAUUUAAUUACAUGGAUCAUUAAAGCUUUGAAGGAUGCUAAUGGGCAGAAAAAAGAGACUUAACAAAACGAAAGUUAUUAUUAGGAAUUACAAAUCACUUAACAUUUCAACAUCACUCGUCGGAUGUGGGCAUUUUGUUGAAAGAGACCUUGUUUUGAACAGUGACAGUGCAGAAGACCUAUGGAAGAAACAAGCUUCCAACUUGAUUUCUAUUGUUAUGCAUGCAUAGCAAAUUAUUAAUUCUAUUCUAAU
Molecule: long non-coding RNA, 1075 nt
Filed under: Homo sapiens (human)
Lineage: Eukaryota; Metazoa; Chordata; Mammalia; Primates; Hominidae
Description: DARS1 antisense RNA 1
Source: RNAcentral